This 492-nucleotide ribosomal RNA is filed under the name uncultured bacterium. RNAcentral describes it as "partial 16S ribosomal RNA". It matches the Rfam family "Bacterial small subunit ribosomal RNA", at positions 29 to 507 of the family's 1533-position model. The record is from RNAcentral.
AGUGAACGCUGGCGGUAGGCCUAACACAUGCAAGUCGAACGGCAGCACAGUAAGAGCUUGCUCUUACGGGUGGCGAGUGGCGGACGGGUGAGGAAUACAUCGGAAUCUACUUUUUCGUGGGGGAUAACGUAGGGAAACUUACGCUAAUACCGCAUACGACCUACGGGUGAAAGCAGGGGAUCUUCGGACCUUGCGCGAUUGAAUGAGCCGAUGUCGGAUUAGCUAGUUGGCGGGGUAAAGGCCCACCUAGGCGACGAUCCGUAGCUGGUCUGAGAGGAUGGUCAGCCACACUGGAACUGAGACACGGUCCAGACUCCUACGGGAGGCAGCAGUGGGGAAUAUGGGACAAUGGGCGCAAGCCUUAUCCAGCCAUACCGCGUGGGUUAAGAAGGCCUUCGGGUUGUAAAGCCCUUUUGUUGGUAAAGAAAAGCAGCAGGUUAAUACCCCGCUGUUCUGACGGUACCCAAAGAAUAAGCACCGGCUAACUUCGUG